This 919-nucleotide long non-coding RNA is filed under the name Marmota monax (woodchuck). Lineage: Eukaryota; Metazoa; Chordata; Mammalia; Rodentia; Sciuridae. The record is from RNAcentral.
AAAGAAAAAUUAUCACAAUUAUUUUAGUUGUAAUUUUUAAAAAUCAUACAUGAUUGUACAUAUUUAUGGGGUACAGUGCGAUAUUUUCAUAAAUGUAUACAAUGUGAAAAGAUCAAAUAAGGAUAACUAAUACAAGAAUCACCUCAUUUAUCCUUUCUUUGUGUUAGGAACAUUCAGAGUCCUCUUUUCUAGGAAUAUUGAAAAUAGUCAAUGAGUUAUUGUUAACUAUAGUCACCCUCUUGUACUUUGGAACACUAGAGCUUAUUUCUCCUAACAGUAAUUUUGUACCUACCAGUCAACCUCUCUCUGUCCCUCCCUCCCCACCACAAUUCCCAGCCUCUGGUAACUAUUUUACUCUCUACAUGCAGGAAGUUAACUUCUUUAGUUUCCACAUACAAAGUAGAGUAUGCAAUUUUGUCUUUUUGUGCCUUUGUAGUAGGUGACAAAUAGUAUCCUCUUUAAAACUGUUUUGCUCAGUAAGAUUAGUUUUCAAAAUCAUAUUCUUAGGAGCCACACUCCUUCUCAAAGUCUUAGAAGGUUUCCAUUUCUCUUAGAAUAAUGGCCCAACACUUUAUCAUAGGCUUCAACCUUCAUUCCCAUGCUUAUUCCCUUUGUUACCUCUUCUUUGAGUCUUCCCAGAACCAACUGAAUUUUUUGGUCUAUCCAGUGUUCUUCCAACCCUGUAUCUUGCACACAUAUUUUCCUCUUCUUAGGAUGUCUUACCCUGAUUAUUAACAUCUUUUGAGUACAAAUUUAAAUACCCCUUACUCUAUAAACAUUUACCUUGAGCCCCAUAAUUGAAAAUAAUCUCUCCUUCCUCUAAACUUCCAAAAUAACACUCAGUAUACCUAUCAGUCAUAAAAAUACCUUCCACUUUUAUGGAUGUACAGUUUUCAAAUGAUUUUUACAUAUAUUUUUC